Molecule: ribosomal RNA, 253 nt
Filed under: uncultured bacterium
Lineage: Bacteria
Description: partial 16S ribosomal RNA
Rfam family: Bacterial small subunit ribosomal RNA
Source: RNAcentral
UACAGAGGGGGCAAGCGUUGUUCGGAAUUACUGGGCGUAAAGGGCGCGUAGGCGGCCUUCUAAGUCGAACGUGAAAUCCCCGGGCUCAACCCGGGAACUGCGUCCGAGACUGGAAGGCUUGAAUCCGGGAGAGGGAUGUGGAAUUCCAGGUGUAGCGGUGAAAUGCGUAGAGAUGUGGAGGAACACCAGUGGCGAAGGCGACUCUUUGGCCUGUAACUGACGCUGAGGCGCGAAAGCGUGGGGAGCAAACAGG